Molecule: ribosomal RNA, 189 nt
Filed under: uncultured bacterium
Lineage: Bacteria
Description: partial 16S ribosomal RNA
Rfam family: Bacterial small subunit ribosomal RNA
Source: RNAcentral
CCUACGGGAGGCAGCAGUGAGGAAUAUUGGACAAUGGAGGCCACUCUGAUCCAGCCAUGCCGCGUGCAGGAAGACUGCCCUAUGGGUUGUAAACUGCUUUUAUACAGGAAGAAACUGCGCUACGAGUAGCGUACUGACGGUACUGUAUCAAUAAGGAUCGCCUAACUCCGUGCCAGCAGCCGCGGUAAU